RNAcentral lists this ribosomal RNA (460 nucleotides) under uncultured bacterium. Its description in RNAcentral is "partial 16S ribosomal RNA". It matches the Rfam family "Bacterial small subunit ribosomal RNA", at positions 338 to 795 of the family's 1533-position model. The record is from RNAcentral.
CCUACGGGAGACAGCAGUGAGGAAUAUUGGUCAAUGGGCGUAAGCCUGAACCAGCCAAGUCGCGUGAGGGAUGAAGGUUCUAUGGAUCGUAAACCUCUUUUAUAAGGGAAUAAAGUGUGGGACGUGUCCUGUUUUGUAUGUACCUUAUGAAUAAGGAUCGGCUAACUCCGUGCCAGCAGCCGCGGUAAUACGGAGGAUCCGAGCGUUAUCCGGAUUUAUUGGGUUUAACGGGUGCGUAGGCGGCCUUUUAAGUCAGCGGUGAAAGUCUGUGGCUCAACCAUAGAAUUGCCGUUGAAACUGGGAGUCUUGAGGAUGUUUGAGGAAGGCGGAAUGCGUGGUGUAGCGGUGAAAGGCUUAGAUAUCACGCAGAACCUCGAUUGCGAAGGCAGCCUGCCAAGCCAUGACUGACGCUGAUGCACGAAAGCGUGGGGAUCAAACAGGAUUAGAUACCCGAGUAGUC